AGUCGAACGAGAGAAUUGCUAGCUUGCUAAUAAUUCUCUAGUGGCGCACGGGUGAGUAACACGUGAGUAACCUGCCCCCGAGAGCGGGAUAGCCCUGGGAAACUGGGAUUAAUACCGCAUAGUAUCGAAAGAUUAAAGCAGCAAUGCGCUUGGGGAUGGGCUCGCGGCCUAUUAGUUAGUUGGUGAGGUAACGGCUCACCAAGGCGAUGACGGGUAGCCGGUCUGAGAGGAUGUCCGGCCACACUGGAACUGAGACACGGUCCAGACACCUACGGGUGGCAGCAGUCGAGAAUCAUUCACAAUGGGGGAAACCCUGAUGGUGCGACGCCGCGUGGGGGAAUGAAGGUCUUCGGAUUGUAAACCCCUGUCAUGUGGGAGCAAAUUAAAAAGAUAGUACCACAAGAGGAAGAGACGGCUAACUCUGUGCCAGCAGCCGCGGUAAUACAGAGGUCUCAAGCGUUGUUCGGAAUCACUGGGCGUAAAGCGUGCGUAGGCUGUUUCGUAAGUCGUGUGUGAAAGGCGCGGGCUCAACCCGCGGACGGCACAUGAUACUGCGAGACUAGAGUAAUGGAGGGGGAACCGGAAUUCUCGGUGUAGCAGUGAAAUGCGUAGAUAUCGAGAGGAACACUCGUGGCGAAGGCGGGUUCCUGGACAUUAACUGACGCUGAGGCACGAAGGCCAGGGGAGCGAAAGGGAUUAGAUACCCCUGUAGUCCUGGCAGUAAACGGUGCACGCUUGGUGUGCGGGGAAUCGACCCCCUGCGUGCCGGAGCUAACGCGUUAAGCGUGCCGCCUGGGGAGUACGGUCGCAAGAUUAAAACUCAAAGAAAUUGACGGGG
Molecule: ribosomal RNA, 838 nt
Filed under: uncultured bacterium
Lineage: Bacteria
Description: bacterial SSU rRNA
Rfam family: Bacterial small subunit ribosomal RNA
Source: RNAcentral